This 28-nucleotide non-coding RNA is filed under the name Bombyx mori (domestic silkworm). Lineage: Eukaryota; Metazoa; Arthropoda; Insecta; Lepidoptera; Bombycidae. The record is from RNAcentral.
UGCCGAAUUGUCGUUUUUAUAAAACUCG